Molecule: ribosomal RNA, 629 nt
Filed under: Microbacterium sp. Ri3Ps_5397
Lineage: Bacteria; Bacillati; Actinomycetota; Actinomycetes; Micrococcales; Microbacteriaceae
Description: bacterial SSU rRNA
Rfam family: Bacterial small subunit ribosomal RNA
Source: RNAcentral
UGCAGCAACGCCGCGUGAGGUGAUGACGGCCUAUCGGGUUGUAAACCUCUUUUAGCAAGGAAGAAGCGAAAGUGACGGUACUUGCAGAAAAAGCGCCGGCUAACUACGUGCCAGCAGCCGCGGUAAUACGUAGGGCGCAAGCGUUAUCCGGAAUUAUUGGGCGUAAAGAGCUCGUAGGCGGUUUGUCGCGUCUGCUGUGAAAACUGGAGGCUCAACCUCCAGCCUGCAGUGGGUACGGGCAGACUAGAGUGCGGUAGGGGAGAUUGGAAUUCCUGGUGUAGCGGUGGAAUGCGCAGAUAUCAGGAGGAACACCGAUGGCGAAGGCAGACCUCUGGGCCGUAACUGACGCUGAGGAGCGAAAGGGUGGGGAGCAAACAGGCCUAGAUACCCUGGUAGUCCACCCCGUAAACGUUGGGAACUAGUUGUGGGGACCAUUCCACGGUUUCCGUGACGCAGCUAACGAUAUUAAGUUCCCCGCCUGGGGAGUACGGCCGCAAGGCUAAAACUCAAAGGAAUUGACGGGGACCCGCACAAGCGGCGGAGCAUGCGGAUUAAUUCGAUGCAACGCGAAGAACCUUACCAAGGCUUGACAUAUACGAGAACGCUGCAGAAAUGUAGAACUCUUUGGA